UUUACAAAAUCAAUCAUUGCUAAAAUCAGUUUUUGUCAUGCAAAAUGAAACACAUGAAGUAUGAAAUACAUUCUGACUCCUAUGCUAACCAGCCACUAAAAAAAGCGACAUAAAUAUCACUCGUCACCACUACUCACCUCAAAAGAACACCUUUGUAAAAGAGAACUUACUUCUCAUCACCAACACCGAGCCACAUCCGAAGAACUCCUUCUCUAAAGAUCAUUCAGCUUCCACCACCGCACAACCUCCGGUCCACGAAGGAACACCAUAAAAGCCCAAAACCAAACUAGCACCAACAUACUGUGUUUGAGUCAAUAGUAGUUUGAGAAUGCAAUCAAUACCAUCGUAGUUUUGAGAAUGGCCUCGUAUUUGAAUUGAAAUACAAUAGUCAUGAUAUAUAUGUAUAUGUGUAUAUAAUAUAACAAAGCAAAGAAGGUCAAUAAUGGAUCUGUGGCGCAAUGGUAGCGCGUCUGACUCCAGAUCAGAAGGUUGCGUGUUCGAUUCACGUCAGGUUCAUUACCCUUUUUUAUGUUCUUUUUUGACAGAAAAUGCUUCUCUAGAACAGGGGCCAGAUAGAAAGAGAUUACGAAAGAGAGCUUUGAGAUUAUUUUUUCCUUAGUUAUACUUUAAUUUAUAGAGAUUACUUUUCUUCUUCUAUGAGAAAAUGAUUAUUUAUUUUUUUGCAUUUUAGGGAGUCUAUGGUCUGUAUCAUUCUCCUAUAACUUCAUGUGUCACUGGAUUUUGAUAAAAUGUGAAAUACACUCUCCCACAAGCUUCUAAUGCUAUUAACCAAAACCGUUUUUGGCUUUGCUAGUUACUGUACAUUCUAAUGCUGUUAAGGAAGUUAAUUCUUGUAACAAGAAAGUUUCAGGGUCUACUCUUUCACCUUUAUGGAUAGAAAUAGCAUUCUGCAACACUGCAACAAGCAUAAUAUUGUAGAACUCUUGGUCAUAUAUGCUCUGAUGCUAUUGGAUAGAAAAUAGAAGUUAUAAGAUAUUAACUUUAGUAUUAUUGCUAUUGCACUGUCUCAUGAACCAAUUGUCUCAAAAGCAUUAGUGUUUUGUUUUUUGUUAAGAAGUCAAACUGGUUCACCGAAAUUGGCACUAGAGAAUCGAACAUGAAACCUUGUUAAAAGUUUUUAGUUGUUAGUUGAAACUUUCACCGUGAAAGACAUGAAUGGUUUAAUAUCAACACACUGCUUCAUUUUUGAAUGUUUGUUUGCAGUAUGGGAAUUCGAAAGCAAUUAUAGAGGUGGCUGGAGUGAUAUCCCAUUCACUUAUUUCAGUCCUGGCCAGUUUAACUACAUCAGACACUUGAACACUAUACUUAUAAGAGAGGCACUUACUACAACAGUCGGUAGAAGAGGCACUUGCCACAACAAUCGCUGGAACACUACUGAACUACCGAUAACAGACAAUUAGUUACCAAAUCAAACGCCACCGAGAGACUAUGUUGAUAGCAAGUGCUUACCAUAUUAUACGUCGGAACCAGCUAUUCCUUCUCCAAGCUCAAUGUCCACAACCAAAUACUGUACCAAUGGAAUUUGUGAUGUUAAGUUUACUCACACGAAUUUUUAAGAACAUAAUAAUGAAAAGAGACAUCGAACAUUAUUAGAACUCCAUGAGCAAUUAAUGAAAUUUAAAACUUCAAAUGGACAAGAGAGUA
Molecule: long non-coding RNA, 1665 nt
Filed under: Medicago truncatula (barrel medic)
Lineage: Eukaryota; Viridiplantae; Streptophyta; Magnoliopsida; Fabales; Fabaceae
Description: long non-coding RNA (MTRU_LNC008219)
Rfam family: tRNA (bases 445-516)
Source: RNAcentral